AUUGAACGCUGGCGGCAUGCUUUACACAUGCAAGUCGAACGGCAGCGCGGGCUUCGGCCUGGCGGCGAGUGGCGAACGGGUGAGUAAUGCAUCGGAACGUGCCCAGUAGUGGGGGAUAGCCCGGCGAAAGCCGGAUUAAUACCGCAUACGACCUGAGGGUGAAAGCGGGGGACCGAAAGGCCUCGCGCUAUUGGAGCGGCCGAUGUCGGAUUAGCUAGUUGGUGGGGUAAAGGCUUACCAAGGCGACGAUCCGUAGCUGGUCUGAGAGGACGACCAGCCACACUGGGACUGAGACACGGCCCAGACUCCUACGGGAGGCAGCAGUGGGGAAUUUUGGACAAUGGGGGCAACCCUGAUCCAGCCAUGCCGCGUGCGGGAAGAAGGCCUUCGGGUUGUAAACCGCUUUUGUUCGGGAAGAAAUCCUCUGGGCUAAUACCCCGGGGGGAUGACGGUACCGGAAGAAUAAGCACCGGCUAACUACGUGC
RNAcentral lists this ribosomal RNA (485 nucleotides) under uncultured bacterium. Its description in RNAcentral is "partial 16S ribosomal RNA". It matches the Rfam family "Bacterial small subunit ribosomal RNA", at positions 28 to 508 of the family's 1533-position model. The record is from RNAcentral.